UGGAAAAGAUACUUGCCAGCAUUGAAAUUCGCCAGAGAACAAGGUCUUUUUGUAACCCUUCAUUGUGGAGAGGUGCGCCAAUCUUUUAUUGUACCUGUUACCUGUGGUGAUUACCUGACUGGUCUGUUUUGCUUGUUUCGUGCUUUUAGGUUCCUAAUUCAAAGGAGAUACAAGACAUGCUCGAUUUUGUUCCCCAUAAUCGGACAUGCUUGUUUCUUUGAGGAGGAACACUGGAGAAAGUUGAAGUCUACUAACAUUUCCGGUUGAAAUUUAUUUGCUUGCUCACGUCCAUUGCUGCAACACAGGCAAGCAGCUUUGAAUAGCGUGAAAGGCUCACUUGGAGAUUAACUAGCAUUUAGAUCCGUCGUGAUUCCCCCUCCAUUCUAUGAAAUUUAAUGAAUUAAUAACAAAAGACUGAAAAUAUUGGCAAAACAUAGGCCAAAUAUCUAUUAAUAUAUAAUAAGAAUAUAGUUGUGGUAUUUGCUCGACAAGUGGAGUGUUCUGUGUUUGCCACGUGGAGCUGUGUAUGAUUGACAAGUGACUUUCAAGAAGAGAAUAUGAGAGAGAGAGUUGCCAGUUCUGAUAGGGGGAGUAGUUGGCACCAGACUUCCUCUUUCAAUGUCGCAGAGAAGAGAAGAAGAAAAGGUCGGUAAAGAAAUAAAGCACGACGGAAGAAGUGGUGGGUGGCGAUGACAACGACGGUCACAGAGAAGGAUGCUAGAUCGACAGAGAAAAGAAGAGGAAUGAGGCGGCGACGGCGGUGAUGGAGGUUACCGACGCUGUUGGAUCCAUAGAACUGCAUCUACCGCAGAAUGCCGUCGCAGCCGUUCCUUUGCCAGUGGAUGCUGCGAAUGAAGGAUGAACAUCUGAGGUGGUGAUUGACCUGCAAUUGCAAGUAAAAUUUUUAGUCUCUAUAAUUCUUUGUUGUGGUCUCUGAUGGAGUCUUUGAUUAUGCCAACAAUGUCCUCCAGGAACAACUUCUCCGACAAAGCUCAAGGUGUGAAAUCUGCUGCAACGUGCUCCGGCUGAAGUUGCACCUGCCAAAGCGAUCCUCGAUUGCGGUUUAAUAGAAGAAGGCAGAGAUAAUAGGAGAUGUAUUCAUCCUAAUUUUGUAUUAUUGCUGAAAGUUUUCAAUUGCUCUCUCUUGCCUUUUGUGUUGUUCUUCGCUCCCCCUCUGAUUUGAACUUCUGUGUUUUCAAUUUCUUGAUCAGCUUAGAUGAUAUUGCUUGAGUUGUUCACCGUUCAAUUUGUCCCAUUGAUCUUUGGAGGUGAUGUAGUUAUUGUGCUACUAAUAAUUGAAAUUUUAAUUAUUAUAAUCGACAGAGUAUGGAAAUGACUAUGAGAUUAGCAAAUAUAUAAUUAUUUGUUGCACAUUAAAGAUACAAGAACUUCUUAAUCUAAGGUUUAGUCACUGAUUAUUAUUCAACUUUGUUGGCCAAUUAUAAAUAAUUUUACUUCAUUAAAACUGUCAUUGCAGUGUUGUUUAGCGAGCACAAAAACCAAGUUCAUGGUAUAUAAUUAUAUCACUGGCUUUGUUGCAUGUUUGGUUCUUCUUCUUAAACUAUGUUUUGUUAGUAUUAUUGUUAUUGUUCGUGUUGAAGCUUGAUAUGAUUUGUUUUAUGUUCCUGGUGGGUUAAGUAGGAGAUCACAAAGAGACAUAUUAUAUUUGUCAUGUAGUUAGAUGCAAAUUAUAGCCUUUUUUACAAAGGAUUUAUGUAUAAUGUUAGUGUUUAUCAGUAUAAAAAGAAAGUCUUCACAUGUUGGGAGAAUGUAGAGAAAUGGAGAAAGAAUUUAUCAGUUUAAUUACUCAUGUUGAAAAUAAAGCAAUUUUUUUUUUUAAUUGAAAUGAUUGGGUGUGUUCUUAGUCCAAUAUAAAUUAUCUAUCACCAACAACCAUAGUUUCACCAAUUUUGUUCAUAGAUUCUAAUUUUUAGUAUUCUUAAAUCUUUGAACUAAAUUUGAAAUUAAGAUAUUUCAAGGAAUUACAAUAUGAGGGAACCAAAAGCAUGAGA
This is a long non-coding RNA of Arachis duranensis, 2012 nucleotides long. RefSeq lists it as uncharacterized. The record is from RefSeq and is a predicted model, not a curated record. The transcript is spliced from 6 exons. NCBI's taxonomy places the organism in Eukaryota, Viridiplantae, Streptophyta, Magnoliopsida, Fabales, Fabaceae.